GCCGAGGUAGCUCAGUUGGUAGAGCAUGCGACUGAAAAUCGUAGGGUCGACAGUUCAAGUCUGUCUCUCGGCA
This 73-nucleotide transfer RNA is filed under the name Chloroflexota bacterium. RNAcentral describes it as "Chloroflexi bacterium tRNA-Phe". It matches the Rfam family "tRNA". From Rfam's summary of the family: Transfer RNA (tRNA) molecules are approximately 80 nucleotides in length. Their secondary structure includes four short double-helical elements and three loops (D, anti-codon, and T loops). The record is from RNAcentral. RNAcentral also lists the same sequence under 1 other name. Lineage: Bacteria; Bacillati; Chloroflexota.